Molecule: ribosomal RNA, 467 nt
Filed under: uncultured bacterium
Lineage: Bacteria
Description: partial 16S ribosomal RNA
Rfam family: Bacterial small subunit ribosomal RNA
Source: RNAcentral
ACGCACGCUGGCGGCGCGCCUAACACCUGCCAGUCGAACGGAGCUGAGAGAAGCUUGCUUUUCUUAGCUUAGUGGCGAACGGGUGAGUAACGCGUGAGUAACCUGCCCUGGAGUGGGGGACAACAGUUGGAAACGACUGCUAAUACCGCAUAAGCCCACGAUCCGGCAUCGGAUUGAGGGAAAAGGAUUUAUUCGCUUCAGGAUGGACUCGCGUCCAAUUAGCUAGUUGGUGAGGUAACGGCCCACCAAGGCGACGAUUGGUAGCCGGACUGAGAGGUUGAACGGCCACAUUGGGACUGAGACACGGCCCAGACUCCUACGGGAGGCAGCAGUGGGGGAUAUUGCACAAUGGGGGAAGCCCUGAUGCAGCGACGCCGCGUGGAGGAAGAAGGUUUUCGGAUUGUAAACUCCUGUCGUUAGGGACGAUAAUGACGGUACCUAACAAGAAAGCACCGGCUAACUACGUG